Long non-coding RNA from Gallus gallus (chicken), 1359 nucleotides. The record is from Ensembl. Lineage: Eukaryota; Metazoa; Chordata; Aves; Galliformes; Phasianidae.
UGGACUGUAUUGCUCUUUUCAUUCAGUUCCUUUUUCUCUGCAAGAAACUCCUGAAUAUAUUUGUAAUGACAAGAGAAACCUUUUUUGCUUCUACAAAAUUUAUAGCAGCGUUCUAUUUUUCUGCCAGAAAAUCCUCUUACAGAGACCUCCACUGGGAGAGCUGUGCCUGUUUAAAGGGGAACAUCUCUACUUGUCACCCCACGGCUGCAUGCUACCCGAGGACAUGCGGAUGGUCAGUAUUUCCACCUGAUGCCAGCAUAUAAAAGCUGCCUGAAAGAAGGCUCCGUGACAACAAGCACUGGGAGGAUGGAGCACUGAGCCUGCAGCAAAUAUCUGAAUUUAUUCAAAAACUACAAAGCAGAAGUGAACUCUAGAUGCUGAAGACAGAUGGACCACCAGAUGGACCCUGGGAAGGAUUGGUUAAAAUGUCAGUGAUAAGCUAACAGAAUGAAAUGCAGUAGACUGAGGAGACUAUUCUGCUGAAAACCAUCUACUGAAAUGGGGUUUGUAUUAUUCACAUUCAUUAAAGCACACUUCAACUGUGCUGUUUUGACAUUUUCUGUUUCGAGACUUUCAAGUCAAGCAGCUCUGUGUUUGCUGUUUUGCUGAGGUUUUUUUCUUUUCCAAAUGGUUGUUUGAUGAUAGAUUUUCAAAAGUGACCCUAGCUCUUUAAGGCGAUUGCUUUGCCAUUGAGGAAUCUUGCCAUUGUUAUAUUCAGCCAUCAAACUUACAAGUACACCAAUUCAGACUCUGAAGAGCAAACUGAUGUAAGGAUGAAGAUUAUAUAAGGGACAGAAGUGAGUUAUUGCUUGCUUCUGGUAAACUCGCAUAACUUGCUUUCCAAUUCUUACCGUUCAUUUACCUGCAAUACUAAUUCCAACAACUUCUUUGGAUUAAGCCUUGAGAAUUUCAUUACAAACAUGGAAAGAAAUGCAUACACAUGGCAGUGUAUCAGCAGUAGGGAACAAGCUAAGACGGGUCAGGAAAGACUCCAGGCAGAAGCUUUGUUGCAAAACAGAAACACAAAAUAGAGAUUUGCCUGAUUUCAUGUGGUUCAUCAUUCAGCUGCUUGAUUUCUCCACUCUUCAUUUGCUUCACAAGAAAAAAAGCUGUUUCCUUCAAACUUGCAAUAUUAGUUAUGAUUCUGCACCAGUGCCACAUGGCUAGUCUACCCAUAACUUCAUAAGGGAUAUUCUGCAGUUUCAAGUACAAAUCAAUUGUCACAAGAUCAACAUCAAAAUAUCUUCUUUACUGAGUCACACUAUAAAUUCUAUCAUGAAUAUUGCCAUUCAAUGAUUCAUAAAUAAAAACAAACGUUAGCAUUGAGAGGUAUUCCUCUCUUACUUGAAACAAUUCCCA